CUACGUGCCAGCAGCCGCGGUAAUACGGAAGGUCCGGGCGUUAUCCGGAUUUAUUGGGUUUAAAGGGAGCGUAGGCUGGAGAUUAAGUGUGUUGUGAAAUGUAGACGCUCAACGUCUGACUUGCAGCGCAUACUGGUUUCCUUGAGUACGCACAACGUUGGCGGAAUUCGUCGUGUAGCGGUGAAAUGCUUAGAUAUCACGAAGAACUCCGAUCGCGAAGGCAGGUGUCCGGGCUGCAACUGACGCUGAGGCUCGAAAGUGUGGGUAUCAAACAGGAUUAGAUACCCUGGUAGUCCACACAGUAAACGAUGUAUACUCGCGGUUUGCGAUAGAUUGUAAGCCGCCAAGCGAAAGCAUUAAGUAUACCACCUGGGGAGUACGCCGGCAACGGUGAAACUCAAAGGAAUUGACGGGGGCCCGCACAAGCGGAGGAACAUGUGGUUUAAUUCGAUGAUACGCGAGGAACCUUACCCGGGCUUGAACUAACGGUGACGAAUCUAGAGAUAG
Molecule: ribosomal RNA, 507 nt
Filed under: uncultured bacterium
Lineage: Bacteria
Description: bacterial SSU rRNA
Rfam family: Bacterial small subunit ribosomal RNA
Source: RNAcentral